RNAcentral lists this ribosomal RNA (400 nucleotides) under uncultured bacterium. RNAcentral describes it as "bacterial SSU rRNA". It matches the Rfam family "Bacterial small subunit ribosomal RNA", at positions 28 to 433 of the family's 1533-position model. The record is from RNAcentral.
GACGAACGCUGGCGGCGUGCUUAACACAUGCAAGUCACGGGGGCCCAGGGGCAACUCUGGGCAACCGGCGAACGGGUGCGUAACACGUGAGCAACCUGCCUAUCUGCGGGGGAUAGCCGGCCCAACGGCCGGGUAAUACCGCAUACGUUCACGAGGGGACAUCCCCUUGUGAGGAAAACUCCGGUGCAGAUAGAGGGGCUCGCGGCCUAUCAGCUAGUUGGUGAGGUAACGGCUCACCAAGGCGACGACGGGUAGCUGGUCUGAGAGGAUGGCCAGCCACAUUGGGACUGCGACACGGCCCAGACUCCUACGGGAGGCAGCAGUGGGGAAUUUUCCGCAAUGGGCGAAAGCCUGACGGAGUGACGCCGCGUGUGGGACGAAGGCCUUCGGUCGUAACCAC